GGGCCUGAGGGAGGCGGCCGGGGCACCUCCCGGCGCGCUCAGGGCGCGCUCAGGGCGCGCUCAGGGCGCGCCGGGACCGC
RNAcentral lists this transfer RNA (80 nucleotides) under Methylobacterium crusticola. RNAcentral's name for it is "tRNA-Leu". Lineage: Bacteria; Pseudomonadati; Pseudomonadota; Alphaproteobacteria; Hyphomicrobiales; Methylobacteriaceae. The record is from RNAcentral.